UUUUUUUUUUUUUUCCUUGAGUUCUUUUUUAUUAUAGAGUUAUGACAGUUAUUUAAGUAGUCUGAGUCCUUUAGCAGAGAUAAAAUUGUGACUAUUUCCUCCCAAUCUAUGGCUUGCCUUUCAUUUUCUUAAUGGCAUCUAAUGAAAAGGGAAAGUUUUACAUUUUGAUAAGGUAUAAUAUAUUAAUUUUUCUUCUAUGAUUUAGUGCAGUACAUAACCUAAGAAAUCCUUGCCUAACCAAUGUUGGAAACAUACUCUGUUUUCCUCUGGAAGCUUUAUGGUUUCAGUUUUACACUUAGGUAUAUGAUCCAUCCUGAGUUACUUCUUCUACUCCUCCAUUUCAUCUGGUGUUGGAUCUCUACAGAAAAGUGCUCUACAAACAUUGCUGACUCAUUUCUAAAUGCCCCAAAGGUUAAGAGAAAUGUAUUUUGAAAGCCUAUGCUCAGCCUCAGGGGCACCUUGGAUAGAAACCUACUGACAGGAAUAAAGUCAUAAGCAUGGGCCAGUGGAGCACACCGGAAGCAUCCAUUUAGAACUGUUGGUAGGGUCCUGCCUUGUGAUAAGCUUUUGACUAGGACAGGGAUAAUCCAAACUUCUAUUUCUGUAAAAAUAGCAGUGUAACCCAGCACCAAAAAAGAGAGAGAGAUAGAGACUUCACUCACAACAUCUUUUUCUUUGACUAUACAUUAGAACAGUUACCAGGUAACCAUGUCAUCAGUGUAGAUUGAAUUCUCUUUAAUGACCUAGGCUCCAUAAAACCAGUCAGUGUGAUUCAAGUAGUUCUAUUGAAACCUAACUUUAAAGUGAGUAAUAAAUGUUAAAAAUGUUACUCUCAGGGGACAUGGCUUUCGAUAGCUUAAAACACUCACAUUAUUUUAUAGGAUUUAGAUGAUUUUCAAAAAUGUUUUAUGACUAUUUCAUCUGGAAAGCAUGUCAACUUAAACAAAUAAAGAGAAGUAUUCCUGCUAUUCAGAUAGUCUAUUACUCCAUGCAUCUUAAAACAGAGCAUUUCAGGCUACUUCUUUGAGAUUUUAAUAAGAAAACAUAGGACUGAUAAUAGUAAAAAAAAAAAACUUGUUCCUGUAUUUUUGGGUUUGGAGAAAUUAACAGAUUAACAAGGAGCAGAGAGCAUCUCAUAAGUACUUAGUAAUUCAGUUGAUAAAACAAUCUACAUACUAAGAAAUGAAGAGACCAUUUUGAAGAGCUGUAUUAUGACAGCUACUUCCUUAAUAGUUUUAAACCAACACAUACUCACUGUUUGGUAAGGUUCAUUUCUUAUUACUCUGCCCCAGCUUAAGUUUCCACACUACAAUUGAGGUAUCAUAGGAAAACUGUUUACUUCUAAACAAUAACCCAGGCACCUGAGUGUUAAUGAUUACCUGGCCUCACAAGCUAACAGCUCUCGGAAAUAAUCAACAGUAGUUGCUUAGAAUUUAGGUUGACAUAGAAGAAAAGUACUGUAUAAGCCUGGCAUUGUUUCUUUUUAAAAAGAAAAGAAGGUUUGUAUUUAGCUACUUGAAUUUGGUUAAGUUAUACAUUUAAAUCCCUUUUCUCAUCAAGUAUUUCAAUUAUCAUCACUUCCUUAAUAGCACUCCAUUGUUUUUAUGCCUUCCUAAACGUAUAAUCCUUUCUACAAUUGAAGGUCAAAAGAAUAAAAGUAGCAAAAAAAACUCCCAGUAAGAAAUACUGUCUUAAGCCACAUAUUCCAUGAAGUGUUUAAUGGUUCCAAUAAUAGUCAAAAUAAACUUUCCAUUUAAAGAAUGUAAGAAACUGCAACAAGCAAGAAAUAUACUCUAGAAUGAGCUGCCCAGACAAAAUUUAAUUAGAAACGUUCUCUUAUGCUUUACAGCAUUGAUACAAUUCACUUUACAGCAUUGAUACAAUUCAUACAGUGUCAGCUGUGAAGUAAAGCUUAGUUUUCCCUAAAAUCUUUUUAAAUCACAUUGAAAGCACCCUAGGAGAGACCAGAUUGCACUUCCUGACUAAGAGAGGUCACUCUUUCUUCACGCACGUCAUGUUUACGGCACUUUUUUGUUCUGACUCUUGACUUCCCCUCAUCAGAGAGCCAAGUGCCCCUGUGUACACACUUGAGCUCUUCUCUGUGUCCAGUCACCAAGUCCCAAAACUUUUCUCUUGUAGCUGGAGUUACUUUUCACUGAUUUGCCCAUGUUGCUUACUCAUUCAUGCCUUCAUUUACCAAAAUCUCCAAAGUGCUAGAAUAUAAAAGAAUAUUCAGGGAAAAUGACAUGCAGCACCCCUCCCCCAUCUCCUAUGACUAAGUCAAAAAUGCACCCCUUCCCCCAAAAAGGAUUAUACUAUCAUACAACAGGUGCUUUUGAGCAAAUAUUAACUGUAUUAACGUCUAGAGUCUAGGCAACCUAUGUUUAAUGUUAAUUCAUUCAACAAUAAACUGCUUUCCAUUUGGGUGGGUCCUAUGAAUAUGAGCCCCAAAGUUUCUGAAGUUUGUAAUUUCCAGACACACCCAAUGAUAAGGUUUAAACACUUCACAAAUCUGUUUACAUUUUGACUUUGAUGAGCUCAUGUUUGCAUUUCAAUGGAGGAUUGUUAAACACCUUGGAAGUUGAGGACAUGAAGGGAAAUUUAAUCAUUGAACAGAAAUCAGAUGAGCCUCCUCAAACUCAGGGCCAGGAGCAGCUAUUAGCAUAAAGUUUCCCUAGCAAUGCUGUACCACCAACAGAAGCUCAGGAGAAAGGAGGAACUGAAAGGAGACAAAGUAAGGUGACACCAAAGCCAAGGGCACCUGUACCUGGGCCAGUGGCUCACAAACUCCUGUAAUUAAGUUCAAGGCACAAACAUCAAUCAAAUGUCUCCUUGGAUCUAGAACAGACUGCCCUUGGUCAGCCACCUUCACUUCUCAGGGACACAAGACCCUAUUCCAAGCCCUCCCAUUACUCCCGCAAAAUGGAAGAGACCCUUCUAAAUCAGAAGUGUUCCAACACUGUUGUAUUCAUGAAUAAAACUUUUAUUCAAACAAAACCUUGCAGGGAACACUAAUACAGCAGACAGAUGAAAAUAAAUGCUCUGGAGGCUGAAGCAAAACUUCAUCAGCCUCCCUGGAAGGCUCUCUGGAUACCCUGCCCAGAAGCCAGCCAAGACAGUUUGAAACCAUGGGCUCAGAUACCUCCUCAUAGAGGGGAAUGUUCUUUGGUGAGCCAGCCAUAUAUUUCCUAGUCCCCUAAAUAGAAGGAACUCUGAAAAUACUGACAUAAGAUAUAAAUGUGGACUUCCCAUUGUGGCUCAGUGGUAAGGAACCCAACUAGUAUCCCUGAGGACGUGGUUCUGAUCCCUGGCCCUGCUCUGUGGGUUAAAGGAUCCGGUGUUGCCAUGAGCUGUGGUGUAGGUCGCAGACGUAACUCGGAUCCCGAGUUGCUGUGGCUGUGGUGCAGGCCAGCAGCUGUACCUCCAAUUCAACCCCUAGCCUGGGAACUUCCAUAUGCCACAGGUGCAGCCCUAAAAAGCAAAAAAAAAAAAAAAAAAAAUUUAAAGAUAUAAAUGCAAGAGUAAAAUCAAAAUACAGAAGACAGUGAUCAAAGAUGAGAAAGUGAUAAAUGGCACUUCUGGCUUUUGAAAAUUUCUCAGCAUGUAUAUGUUCUGAAAAAUAAACGGAAAGAACUGACAGCUCUUCUGAAGUCUUUAAAAUGCCAGAUCUACUCUUAGUUUCUUUCAUCAAUAUUCAGACUACAGUCUCAAAAUACAGCAUCAAACAUUAUAUUCUAUAAGUCUUUCCCCCUCCCUGUUUCCUUCACUAGCUCAACAAGUACUUACUGAGUACUUCCAUUGUGCCAGGCACUAUUUAAGUGCUGACAACAACAGUGAAUGAGACAAAGUUGCCUGACUUCAGCAGCUUAUAAUCCUCAGGAAGGAACCACCAAGCUGAAUGGGAGCAGGACAUAGUGGGUGUGUCCUGGGGGUGAGAUGACCAGGGGCAGUCACAACGAAGAUGAGUUAUGAGCACAGGAGACGUGAAUGACACGAGAAGACCAAGGGAGGAAGAGCAUAUGCACAGUUGCCAAGAUGGGUGGGACUGAUGGGGGGAGGAAGGGGAGGAGGAGGAGCAGCUGCAAGAAGAUCAAUACAGCUGGGACAGGAGUGAGGCAGAGAGCACAGGAAGUGCAGUGAGGGAACUGGGCAGAGGCCAGCCAGUCACAGAGGGCCUUGCAGGCCAUGAUCAGAAUCUGGAUCAAAAUCUCCCCCAGGAUGGGUUUGAGCAAAGGCGAACCCCAAUGCCAUCUGUGCCCUUAGAGAUAGAUUCAUCUUACAGCUGGCUGCAGAAGAGACUGAGGGGCUUUGGGGAGAGGGGAGUGAGGGCACCAAGGCCAGAUAGGAGGAUCCACCUUCCCAGCAUUGAUUAGGAUUGAGAGAAGGUUUUAUAUGCACAGAUUAAGCUGCAAUUUGAGGAGGAAUGAUUUCAGAGAAAAGGCAUUCCAUGGAAUAUAAGCCAGAACACUCUCCAUGCUGGGUUAUGUGCACUUUACACAAUUACAUAUCCAGCUAAUGAGUUUAGAUUUGAAUUUCUGAGAGACAGGCCAUAAGAAGUUUGCAGUAAAGGCUCUUAGGCAGUUUGCUCUCUCUUAUCCAACACAGCUCACUCCUACUCCCCUCGGUUCUUCAAAUUAUAGGACAAGAUGUCCAAUAAUUAUUUCAUUGUUUGCUAGAUGAACACAAACUUUUCCUGAGACCCCAUCAAACAAGUGUUUACAAAUUAACAGAAACAAUUACAGCAUUGGUACUUAAGACCAACCUCAAAACAUAACCUUCAAAGUUUUGAGGAGUAUAUCAGAGAGCAAUGAAAUAAGUGUGUGCGAUGUAGAGCCUUAAGAACGUGGGGAAUUCCCGCUGUGGUGCAGCAGAAACAAACCCAACUAGUAUGCAAGAGGAUGCAGGUUCAAUCAUUGGUCUCGUUCAGUGGGUUGGGGAUCAGCGUUGCCAUGAGCUAUGGCAUAGGUCACAGAAACAUCUCACAUCCAUUAUUGCUACGGCUGCAGCAUAGGCUGGCAGCUGUAGCUCGGACUAAUGCCCUAGCCUGGGAACUCCCAUUUGCUGAGGAUGUGCCCCACUCCCUCCAGGAAAAGGAACUUCCACAUGCCAC
Molecule: long non-coding RNA, 5110 nt
Filed under: Sus scrofa (pig)
Lineage: Eukaryota; Metazoa; Chordata; Mammalia; Artiodactyla; Suidae
Description: lncRNA (ENSSSCG00040010152.1)
Source: RNAcentral